This 480-nucleotide ribosomal RNA is filed under the name uncultured bacterium. Its description in RNAcentral is "bacterial SSU rRNA". It matches the Rfam family "Bacterial small subunit ribosomal RNA", at positions 30 to 507 of the family's 1533-position model. The record is from RNAcentral.
AUGAACGCUAGCGGCAGGCUUAAUACAUGCAAGGUUGAGGGGCAGCAUGAUAUACGCGAGUAUAUUGAUGGCGACCGGCGGACGGGUGAGUAAUAGGUAGGAGACCUACCUCAUACAGGGGGAUAGCAUAAGAGAAAUCUGUGGUAAUACCCCAUGAGGUUAUAUGAAUAGAGGCAUAUAAUCAAAGCAUAAGCGAUUAUGCGGUAUGAGAGGGGCCUACUGACCAUUAGCUAGUUGGUGAGGUAAGGGCUCACCAAGGCGAAGAUGGUUAGGGGUUUUGAGAGAGAGACCCCCCACAUUGGAACUGAGAGACGGUCCAGACUCCUACGGGAGGCAGCAGUGGGGAAUAUUGCACAAUGGGCGAAAGCCUGAUGCAGCGACGCCGCGCGAGGGAUGACGGCCUUCGGGUUGUAAACCUCUUUCAGCAGGGAAGAAGCGAAAGUGACGGUACCUGCAGAAGAAGCACCGGCUAACUACGUG